AAGUCGUAACAAGGUUUCCGUAGGUGAACCUGCGGAAGGAUCAUUAACACAUCCUUUUCUAUAUCUAUCUUGUCGAACCGGGAGCCAUUGUAAGGGAAGGCCGAGUAGGCAACGGGUUGAUUUAUGACUUGAUCAUAAUUGGCCUACAGGAUAGCAGACGACUCUUUAUUGAGUUGAGCUGCAGCUUCCUUUAUGGUGGUAUACAGCGUCAAUUCCUCGCUGGACCUUUUUUUUUUAAACCUUGAAUUUUGAUAUGAAUUGGCUGGGAUUGAGAAGGUCCUCUCUUUGAGAGGUACUGCCUCUCUUGGCUUUUUGAUGGAGAAAUCCAUUCAAAUAAAAUAAAACACAACUCUUAACAGCGGAUAUCUCGGUUCUC
This 376-nucleotide unclassified non-coding RNA is filed under the name fungal sp. RNAcentral describes it as "partial internal transcribed spacer region". The stretch from base 1 to 46 matches the Rfam family "Eukaryotic small subunit ribosomal RNA", at positions 1786 to 1831 of the family's 1831-position model. The record is from RNAcentral. Lineage: Eukaryota; Fungi.